UUGCCUACGGGGCGCAGCAGUGAGGAAUAUUGGUCAAUGGUCGGGAGACUGAACCAGCCAAGCCGCGUGAGGGAGGAAGGUACAGAGUAUCGUAAACCUCUUUUGUCAGGGAACAAAGGCGGGGACGUGUCCCCGGAUGAGUGUACCUGAAGAAAAAGCAUCGGCUAACUCCGUGCCAGCAGCCGCGGGAAUACGGAGGAUGCGAGCGUUAUCCGGGUUUAUUGGGUUUAAAGGGAGCGUAGGCCGGUCUUUAAGCGUGCCGUGAAAUUUUGUGGCCCAACC
RNAcentral lists this ribosomal RNA (282 nucleotides) under uncultured bacterium. Its description in RNAcentral is "partial 16S ribosomal RNA". It matches the Rfam family "Bacterial small subunit ribosomal RNA", at positions 335 to 614 of the family's 1533-position model. The record is from RNAcentral.